GGACUACAAGGGUAUCUAAUCCUGUUUGCUCCCCACGCUUUCGUGCCUCAACGUCAGAUAUGAGCCAAGAAGCUGCCUUCGCCAUUGGUGUUCCUCCCGAGAUCCACGCAUUUUACCGCUACUCCGGGAAUUCCACUUCUCUCUCUCAUCCUCUAGUUUGCCAGUUUUCAUCGCAAUACUCCGGUUAGGCCGGAGCCUUUAACAACGAACUUAACAUACCGUCUACGCACCCUUUACGCCCAGUGAUUCCGAAUAACGUUUGCACCCUUCGUAUUACCGCGGCUGCUGGCAC
Molecule: ribosomal RNA, 292 nt
Filed under: uncultured bacterium
Lineage: Bacteria
Description: partial 16S ribosomal RNA
Source: RNAcentral